Molecule: ribosomal RNA, 375 nt
Rfam family: Eukaryotic small subunit ribosomal RNA
AUUCCAGCUCCAAUAGCGUAUAUUAAAGUUGUUGCAGUUAAAAAGCUCGUAGUUGAACUUCUGGCUAUUCUUCCAGCUGGCUUCGGUCGCUGUAAGAGUGGUCAUCCGCUUGGGAACUACGUUCGAACUUCACUGUUCGGCGUAAGGAACAGGCAUUUUACUUAGAAAAAAUUAGAGUGUUCAAGGCAGGCUAUCGCCCUGAAUACACAAGCUUGGAAUAAUGAAAUAGGACUAUUUCCAUUUUAUUGGUUAUUGGAAUUAGUAAUGAUUAAUAGGGACAGUUGGGGACAUUAGUAUUUAAUUGUCGGAGGUGAAAUUCUUGGAUUUUGGAAAGAUGAACUACUGCGAAGGCAUUUACCAAGGAUGUUUUCAUCG